AACUUGGUCAUUCCAGUGGUCAAC
Molecule: unclassified non-coding RNA, 24 nt
Filed under: Dictyostelium discoideum
Lineage: Eukaryota; Evosea; Eumycetozoa; Dictyosteliales; Dictyosteliaceae
Source: RNAcentral